GAUGAACGCUGGCGGCGUGCCUAAUACAUGCAAGUCGAGCGAACGGACGAGAAGCUUGCUUUUCUGAUGUUAGCGGCGGACGGGUGAGUAACACGUGGAUAACCUACCUAUAAGACUGGGAUAACUUCGGGAAACCGGAGCUAAUACCGGAUAAUAUUUUGAACCGCAUGGUUCAAAAGUGAAAGACGGUCUUGCUGUCACUUCUAGAUGGAUCCGCGCUGCAUUAGCUAGUUGGUAAGGUAACGGCUUACCAAGGCAACGAUGCAUAGCCGACCUGAGAGGGUGAUCGGCCACACUGGAACUGAGACACGGUCCAGACUCCUAAGGGAGGCAGCAGUAGGGAAUCUUCCGCAAUGGGCGAAAGCCUGACGGAGCAACGCCGCGUGAGUGAUGAAGGUCUUCGGAGCGUAAAACUCUGUUAUUAGGGAAGAACAUAUGUGUAAGUAACUGUGCACAUCUUGACGGUACCUAAUCAGAAAGCCACGGCUAACUACGUG
Molecule: ribosomal RNA, 497 nt
Filed under: uncultured bacterium
Lineage: Bacteria
Description: partial 16S ribosomal RNA
Rfam family: Bacterial small subunit ribosomal RNA
Source: RNAcentral